Non-coding RNA from Brassica napus (rape), 125 nucleotides. The record is from Rfam. Lineage: Eukaryota; Viridiplantae; Streptophyta; Magnoliopsida; Brassicales; Brassicaceae.
GGAAGUUAAGAAACUGUUUCUUAAUUUUUAACUAAAAAAGUUAAAAACCGGUUAUUAAAUAAAGACUUUAAGAACCGAUUCUUAGUUUUUUUAGUUAAAAAUUAAGAAACAAUUUCUUAAGUUUU